RNAcentral lists this transfer RNA (72 nucleotides) under Pseudomonadota bacterium. Its description in RNAcentral is "tRNA-Ile". It matches the Rfam family "tRNA". Rfam says of the family: Transfer RNA (tRNA) molecules are approximately 80 nucleotides in length. RNAcentral also lists the same sequence under 1 other name. The record is from RNAcentral. Lineage: Bacteria; Pseudomonadati; Pseudomonadota.
GGGCCUGUAACUCAGCGGUAGAGUGCCAUUCUUAUAAAAUGGAAGUCGAUGGUUCGAUCCCAUCCAGGCCCA